GAUGAACGCUAGCGGCAGGCCUAACACAUGCAAGUCGAGGGGUAACGUGAGUGCUUGCACUUGACGACGACCGGCGCACGGGUGCGUAACGCGUAUACAAUCUACCUUACACUAAGGGAUAGCCUUUGGAAACGAAGAUUAAUACCUUAUAGUCUAUUAGAGUGCAUCACUUUUCUAGUAAAGGUUACGGUGUAAGAUGAGUAUGCGUUCUAUUAGUUUGUUGGUAAGGUAACGGCUUACCAAGACUACGAUAGAUAGGGGCCCUGAGAGGGGGAUCCCCCACACUGGUACUGAGACACGGACCAG
RNAcentral lists this ribosomal RNA (306 nucleotides) under uncultured bacterium. RNAcentral describes it as "bacterial SSU rRNA". It matches the Rfam family "Bacterial small subunit ribosomal RNA", at positions 28 to 334 of the family's 1533-position model. The record is from RNAcentral.